Long non-coding RNA from Chelonus insularis, 296 nucleotides. RefSeq lists it as uncharacterized. The transcript is spliced from 3 exons. The record is from RefSeq and is a predicted model, not a curated record. Lineage: Eukaryota; Metazoa; Arthropoda; Insecta; Hymenoptera; Braconidae.
UGACAAUAAAUUAAUAAAUGUAAUGAUAUGAUUUAUGGAUAAUUCUAAAGCUUAAAACUUAUUUACUAGUUCAAAAAAUAAGAAGAUAAUAAAAAUUGGAGCUCCGUUAUAAUAUUGGAGUAAAAUAAAUAUUAUUUUAAAAGAAUGACUGCAAAUUUAAGUCGAAGGAUGAACUUGAGGUAUUGGGUGGGCGGAAAGUGAAAGAGGCGUUACUUUGUUUGCUUCAGGGGAAUUUAAACUCCGCCCAGAAUCCCAACUCCACUAUAUCCGAUCAGCGCGAGCGCGGAGUAGAUUAC